This 67-nucleotide transfer RNA is filed under the name Hymenocera picta. Its description in RNAcentral is "tRNA-Met". Lineage: Eukaryota; Metazoa; Arthropoda; Malacostraca; Decapoda; Palaemonidae. The record is from RNAcentral.
AAAAAGAUAAGCUAAACGUGCAAGCUAAUGGGCUCAUACCCCAUCUAUGAAUUUAUUUCUCUUUUUA